RNAcentral lists this ribosomal RNA (562 nucleotides) under uncultured bacterium. Its description in RNAcentral is "partial 16S ribosomal RNA". It matches the Rfam family "Bacterial small subunit ribosomal RNA", at positions 355 to 938 of the family's 1533-position model. The record is from RNAcentral.
UGGGGAAUAUUGCACAAUGGGCGAAAGCCUGAUGCAGCAACGCCGCGUGAGUGAUGAAGGCCUUCGGGUUGUAAAGCUCUGUCUUUUGGGACGAUAAUGACGGUACCAAAGGAGGAAGCCACGGCUAACUACGUGCCAGCAGCCGCGGUAAUACGUAGGUGGCAAGCGUUGUCCGGAUUUACUGGGCGUAAAGGAUGCGUAGGCGGAUUUUUAAGUGAGAUGUGAAAUACCCGGGCUUAACUUGGGUGCUGCAUUUCAAACUAGGAAUCUAGAGUGCGGGAGAGGAGAAUGGAAUUCCUAGUGUAGCGGUGAAAUGCGUAGAGAUUAGGAAGAACACCAGUGGCGAAGGCGAUUCUCUGGACCGUAACUGACGCUGAGGCAUGAAAGCGUGGGUAGCAAACAGGAUUAGAUACCCUGGUAGUCCACGCCGUAAACGAUGAGUACUAGGUGUAGGAGGUAUCGACCCCUUCUGUGCCGCAGUUAACACAAUAAGUACUCCGCCUGGGAAGUACGAUCGCAAGAUUAAAACUUAAAUGAAUUGACGGGGUCAUAGCUGUUUUCC